Long non-coding RNA from Loxodonta africana (African savanna elephant), 2910 nucleotides. RefSeq lists it as uncharacterized. The transcript is spliced from 3 exons. Lineage: Eukaryota; Metazoa; Chordata; Mammalia; Proboscidea; Elephantidae. The record is from RefSeq and is a predicted model, not a curated record.
GUGAGAAGGAGGCGGUGCCGCCGCUGCCGCCGCCGCCACCGCUGCCACCGCCGGGGCUACCCGCAAUGGGAAGCUGCUGGCCGUACUGAGCAUGCGCCACUCCUCGCACAUGCUCAGUCAUUGGAACCCCUUUUCGUCUCCACCCGCCUCUCAGCUACCACUCCCUCCGCCUCCGGGCUUUGGGCGUGAGGUGGUUGGGUCGUGCAGAAUCUGAAGGAAAUCCGCUUCUCCGGGCUUUGGUAGCAACCUGAGGGAGAGUAAAGAAAGUGCUGGAGGAGCUGUCAGCUACAGGCGUUGUUGGACUUCAGGAUCAAAAAAAUGCUACCCCCUGGUCUGAUAGAUGAAGCUCCUGGAUGGUGCAAAUGGUUAAGCACUCAGGUGCUAACUGAAAGGUGAUAUGAUGGCGGCAUAGUGCUUAAGUGCUACAGCUGCGAACCAAAGGAUCGGCAGUUCGAAUCCACCAGGCGCUCCUUGGAAACUCUAUGGGGCAGUUCUACUCUGUCCUGUAGGUCGCUAUGAGUCAGAAUCGACUCGACGGCAGUGGGUGUGUUAUGAUGGUAUUAUGGUUAUGUCUAAAAAGAGAGAUCCUAAUCUUUUAUGGAUACACGGUAAAAUAUUUAUGGACACAGUAAAAUAUUUAUGGAUGAAAUGCUAUUUUGUUUGAUUUGCUUUGAAAUAAUCCAGGGAGAGAGAAAAAAGAAGUAUAAUAGAAACAAGAUUAGGUCAAACAAGAUUGGCCAUGAGAUGACGAUCGUUGAAGCUGAGAAAUGGGUACACGGAGGCUUAUUAUACUAUAUUGUCUAUGUUUGAAAAUACCUCUGACAUUAAAAAAAAUCACAAUAGCUGGGGAGGAGCUAGGAGAUAGGAUACAGAGGUGCAAAUAUGUAGAUUUAAUGAUAUUGGUAGUGUUCUAGAACUUGGGCUUGGUGGCAUGUUUAUAGGUUUUCCUUAUAUAAUGCUUUAUAACAUGUAUUUGUUACAUGCAUUGUUUACUUACCAUCUAAGCCUGCGUUCUCUAGACGAGCAAAACCAAUGAGAUGUAUUUGUGUAUAUAUGUAUGUAUAUACACAUAUAUAAUAUAUACAUAUGUAUUAUAUAUAUGUACAUAUGGAUAUAUACAGAGACAGAGAGAGAUUCACUUCAAGAAAAUGGCUCAUGGAAUUGUAGGGGCUAGCAAAUCCAAAAUCUGCAGGUCAGGUGGCAGGCUGGAGACUUCUGCAGGCUUAUGUCCCAAGAUCUGUAGGUCAGGUGAGUAAAGAGUGCAGCGUUGAGAGAGAAAGAGAGCUCUGCCAGGACAUCCUUUUAAAUUCUGGAGGCAAACCACACUCCCAAGAAAACUCGCCUUUCAACUGAUUGAUCACAUCACAUCACAUCGCAUCGCAUCAUGGAAAGUGAUUACAUUACAUUACAGAAUAGCAACUAGUCCAGUGUCUACCAAACCACUGAGCAUCAUAGCCUAGCCAAGUUUAAACAUAAAAUUAUCCAUCACAUUUAUAUUUAUCAUUUAUUUUUAAAGGGAAUUAAAAAUAUAUAUACAUUUCUGACAACUUUCUAUUUAAAAUUUUCAAAUAUUAAAAAAAAGUUGGGUCUCAACCCACCUGGAUCAAAGGAGAAUGAAGAACAUCAAGGUCACACAAUAACUAAGAGCCCAAGAGACAGAAAGGGCCACAUGAACUAGAGACUUACAUCAUCCUGAGACCAGAAGAACUAGAUGGUGCCCAGCUACAACCGAUGACUGCCCUGACAGGGAACACAACAGAGAACCCCUGAGGGAGCAGGAAAACAGUGGGAUGCAGACCCCAAAUUCUCAUAAAAAGACCAGACUUAAUGGUCUGACUGAGACUAGAAGAAUCCCGGCGGUCAUGGUCCCCAAACCUUCUGUUGGCCCAGGACAGGAGCCAUUCCCGAAGACAACUCAACAGGCAUGAAAGAGACUGGACAGUGGGUAGGAGAGAGAUGCUGAUGAAGAGUGGGCUAAUGAUAUCAGGUGGACACUUGAGACUGUGUUGGCAUCUCCUUUCUGGAGGGGGGAUGGGAGGAUAGAGAGAGUUGGAAGCUGGCAAAAUUGUCUCGAAAGGAGAGACUGGAAGGGCUGACUCAUUAGGGGGAGAGCAAGUGGGAGAACAGAGUAAGGUGUAUGUAAACUUAUAUGUGACAGUCUGACUUGAUUUGUAAACGUUCACUUGAAGCUCAAUAAAAGUUAAUUAAAAAAAAAAAAGUUGGAAGAAUGACACAAAGCCACUCAUAUACCCUCCACUAGAUUCAAUAAUUAUUAACAUGUUGCCACAUUUUAAAAUAUUUCUUAAUCUAUAUGCAUGUAUAAAUUUAUUUUCAUUUGUAGACAUACAUCCGCUUCUAUAUAUUUCAGCAUACAAGUUCUAGGAAUGAUAAUGUUCUGCAUAAUCAACAUAUCAUAACACCCAGAAAACUUAAAAAUAACUUUAUAAUAUAAUUUAAUAUACAGCCCAUAUUCAAAUUCUCCCAAUUGUCUCUAAAUAUCUUUUAUAAAUGUAGAUUUGAAUGAAAUGAUUUUGACAUGUUGAAUUUGAGUGUCUUUUAAUCUAGAACAGUCCUAGACACCAUUUUUACGACACUGAAAUUUUGAAGAGUCUGGGCCAGUUCUCUUAUAGUAUGUCCUGUAUCCUGACUGUUUCUUAUGAUGUCAUUCACUUGUUCCAUUAUUCCCUGAACUUCCUGUGGACUGGAAUGUAGGUCUAGACUUGAUUAAAAUCAGAUUAAACAUAUUUAUCGACAAUACUUCAUUCACAACAUGCUGUGACUUCACAGUAAGAUCAAGUUCAGAUGGUAACUUCCAGAUCUGUACAUUCUAAAGGUGCAUUUUACUCUUUGGAAUUAAUUAAAUAAUCUUAGAGGUGAUAUUUGGGCACUAUGAGAAUAUCCUGUUCUGCA